CUAUUCAGGCUUACUUGCUCCUACCCUUUGAGGUGGAAUAAUUUCAGCUAAAGGAAGCAGAUAAGUAUGACUUUGCCUCUGCAGUACAGGGCUCCUUAAGCAGGGAGCGAGCAAAUAUUUCAUCCCCUCUGUUCUCUCAGACUGAUUCUCUGUCUUGUAAUCACAGAACCCCAGCAGGUUAUCUCAUAUUAUCUUGAAUAAGCUUGUAUCCAAGAUAUCAGUUUUGGUGUAGUACUGAUAUCCAUGUAACAAUCCUCUGUUGGUAGGUUUGUGCUAUGCCUGUAGACAGAUGGACCUGUUAUUCCUUCAGACUAACUUGGAAGUCAGUGGGAGACAUAAAGAACUCCAUAUCUAGAAUGGAUCGAGAGCAAUACAUACCAAACAUUUCUAAUGUCCUACAGAAUUUCUACAUUGUACUGGCAGAUUGUCUAAAUAAAUGGCAAAGAUUACUGAAAAUGUCCUUCAAGCAAAAAUCUUCACUAUCCAAUGAUGUAUCACUUAGGGUUCUCACAGAAGAGAAAUGCCUCUGGGUAGCACUUAUCAGCCAAAUACUUUUUGUCCAUGCCACUGCAGAAGUAUGAAUUUUCCAGAAAUGUUUCCAUGUGGCAGGAAGCAGGGUUGGUGGUUUUGCAGGUGGCAUCUUCUCCCUGAGCCUUUUCUUAACUAUAGCCCUCUGCACUGACGUGCAAGCUGCUACAGGAGACACUGUCUCUCAGAAACACUGUAAAUCUGAGACUUGGCCUUCAUGAUUAAGAGUUUCUUGCAUUUGCUUGGUAUGGAAGCAAUUUCAGCUGGGGUGAUAUAAUCACAUUUUUAACAGAGAUUGUUACUUUUUUGCUCCUUAAGUUUCCCCUGCAGUCAGAGGUAUCUCUUUCUUUCUUAAAGUGCAGAGAAUACAUACAAAUAGAUGUUUUAUUGCUUUUCUGGGAUGCUUGUACUUAUGUGAUCAAUGAGGGCAUUCUAAUGUAUUGUUUCUGUACCUUCUUUUGAAAUCCCCAGAGCUCUUCUUGAGCCAUUUGACUGAGUGCUUCACAUCAUUUUAUUCCUCUGUCAAUCGGCUAUAUAAAACUACUGCAAAUUUGUUAAAAAUCAGGUCUGAAACAUAAACACAUUGCUUUUCAGAAUGUAUUGUGAAUUAUUUUGAUGCAAUGUGAGUGUGCACCCUGUUGCAAAAUAACUGCUAGUUGCAUAACUGUAUCUUAGCCCUCCUGUAUGAGAACUAGGACCAUAUAUAUACACCAUACCUACCUAAUACAUAUGUGAGAUACUUUUGCAAAGGAACUGCCAUCUGGCUCAACAUGCCAACCUGGACUUUUAAAUGAGUGAAAACACUUUCUUGUUUGUUUCUUUAUUUUUGGAGCAAGCCUCCUUCUUCUUCUUCCCCAUAAAAAGAGGUAGCUGUCUCAUGCUCUUUUCUGUAAUUUAUUUCAAUUGCUUUCCUUGGUAACAUGUUCCAUAUGUUUACUAUCUCCCUUUUUUGUCCUUCAGUAGCCUAGAGCAUUUUCUUUACCAAAAGCUGCAUGGUUAUUUUCCCAGCAAAUAUCA
This 1545-nucleotide long non-coding RNA is filed under the name Strigops habroptila (Kakapo). RNAcentral's name for it is "lncRNA (ENSSHBG00005007872.1)". Lineage: Eukaryota; Metazoa; Chordata; Aves; Psittaciformes; Psittacidae. The record is from RNAcentral.